Molecule: ribosomal RNA, 798 nt
Filed under: uncultured bacterium
Lineage: Bacteria
Description: bacterial SSU rRNA
Rfam family: Bacterial small subunit ribosomal RNA
Source: RNAcentral
CGGGGAGCGAAGCUUGCUUUGCUCCGCCGGCGACCGGCGCACGGGUGAGUAACGCGUAUGCAACCUGCCCGUUUCAGCGGGAUAACCCGGAGAAAUCCGGCCUAAUACCGCAUGUGGCCGAGGGAAGGCAUCUUCUUUCGGCCAAAGGAGGCGACUCCGGAGACGGAUGGGCAUGCGUGACAUUAGCUUGUUGGCGGGGUAACGGCCCACCAAGGCGACGAUGUCUAGGGGUUCUGAGAGGAAGGUCCCCCACACUGGUACUGAGACACGGACCAGACUCCUACGGGAGGCAGCAGUGAGGAAUAUUGGUCAAUGGGCGAGAGCCUGAACCAGCCAAGUCGCGUGAAGGAUGACGGCCCUACGGGUUGUAAACUUCUUUUGUCAGGGAGCAAUUGGGUCCACGCGUGGGCUUAGCGAGAGUACCUGAAGAAAAAGCAUCGGCUAACUCCGUGCCAGCAGCCGCGGUAAUACGGAGGAUGCGAGCGUUAUCCGGAUUUAUUGGGUUUAAAGGGUGCGUAGGCGGAAUAUCAAGUCAGCGGUAAAAAUUCGGGGCUCAACCCCGUCGUGCCGUUGAAACUGAUGUUCUUGAGUGGGCGAGAAGUAUGCGGAAUGCGUGGUGUAGCGGUGAAAUGCAUAGAUAUCACGCAGAACUCCGAUUGCGAAGGCAGCAUACCGGCGCCCAACUGACGCUGAAGCACGAAAGCGUGGGUAUCGAACAGGAUUAGAUACCCUGGUAGUCCACGCAGUAAACGAUGAAUGCUAAUUGUCCGGAGGGAUUGACCUCUGGGUGAUACAGCG